UGGCUCAGUCAGUAGAGCAUGUGACUCUUGAUCUCAGGGUCGUGAGUUCAAGCCCCAC
Molecule: transfer RNA, 58 nt
Filed under: Canis lupus familiaris (dog)
Lineage: Eukaryota; Metazoa; Chordata; Mammalia; Carnivora; Canidae
Also listed under: 1 other name
Rfam family: tRNA
About the family: Transfer RNA (tRNA) molecules are approximately 80 nucleotides in length. Their secondary structure includes four short double-helical elements and three loops (D, anti-codon, and T loops).
Source: Rfam by way of RNAcentral